Molecule: long non-coding RNA, 351 nt
Organism: Sipha flava (yellow sugarcane aphid)
Lineage: Eukaryota; Metazoa; Arthropoda; Insecta; Hemiptera; Aphididae
Exons: 3
Source: RefSeq, a predicted model, not a curated record
AAAAUUUUUCAACGACUAGAGCAGAGUCUGAAGUUUCUAAUGUUGAUAAUCCACCAACCAUCGAUGUGAAUUCGAAUCAUUUUAUUAAAAAAACAUUGGAGCAAUACCAGAUGGUCUCCUUAUACUACAACACUUCAAGUCAUAUGGGUCAUUAAAUUCAAAAAUGAGAAACCGACUUUGUGGAAUAUUAAUAAAAGAUGAACUUUUUAAAACUAAAGGUGCAAAUAAAAUUGGGAAAACACAAUUUUCGAAAAUUGCAAAUGGUAUAGAAGAAUUCUUUCCUUCAGAAAAUAAAUAUGUUUAUUUCAUCCCUUAUUAUAAAGAAGGUAAUAAAGUGAGUCCUAAUUGAGG